AAUGGGAGAACAUAAACAAGUACUAUAGAAGAGUUAAAGAAAGCCAAAAGAAAAGGCCAGAAGAUUCAAAAACAUGUCCAUAUUUUCAUCAAUUGGAUUCCAUCUAUCAAAACAAGUCCAAGAAACAAUUGCCCAUUAUGGAAACUCCGGGUUCGAAUAUGAAGGCCGGAGAGAUACUAAUGCAAAUAAUCAACCAACAACAGCAACAACAAGCAUUAGAAAGAACAGAAUGUUGAACAAAAGUUUGUUCAAGAACAAAGUAAUGCAAAUAAUAGAUUGAUGGACAAGAAGGUUUUUCUAUUUUACUUUGUGGUUAGUGUACCAUUUUUGACAAGUGGGACAAAAUCAAUUAUGUGCUUUGGAAAUGUGGGAUUAUGUGUGAGGGAGGAACUUUUUCAUUCACAAAGUUAGUUUUACUAUAAAUGCACACACAAAGAAAGUGGCAUAUUUUCUUUUUUUCUAGUUAGGUAUAUUUAAUCAUUUGUUGUUAGUAGUUAAAUAGUGUCAUAGGGAAUAGUUUUAGCUUUGGUGUGAUUUUGAUAUUUCUUUUUUUGAAGAUUAUAUAUGUAGCAUAUAGUAUACAUUUUCUUCUUUUGAGGCUUUGGUUUCUCAACCAUAUCCUCCAUAAGUACAUGUGUGUAAUAGUUCAAAAUAGUUGAUUGUGUUUGUAUGAAUUUAGAAUAUACUUUUACAUGUUUGU
Molecule: unclassified non-coding RNA, 700 nt
Filed under: Hevea brasiliensis (rubber tree)
Lineage: Eukaryota; Viridiplantae; Streptophyta; Magnoliopsida; Malpighiales; Euphorbiaceae
Source: RNAcentral